CGACGUAAGAAUCUACCAUUCAGUGAGGAAUACCUCCGAGAAAUCGGAGUUAAUACUGCAUACGUCCCUCCGGGGAGAAAGAUGGCCUCUUUGCUGUCGCUGAUUGAUGAGCUUGCGUACUAUUAGCUAGUUGGUGGGGUAAAGGCUUACCAAGGCAGCGAUCGGUAACUGGUCUGAGAGGAUGACCAGUCACACUGGGACUGAGACACGGCCCAG
This 216-nucleotide ribosomal RNA is filed under the name uncultured bacterium. RNAcentral's name for it is "partial 16S ribosomal RNA". It matches the Rfam family "Bacterial small subunit ribosomal RNA", at positions 113 to 334 of the family's 1533-position model. The record is from RNAcentral.